RNAcentral lists this ribosomal RNA (255 nucleotides) under uncultured bacterium. RNAcentral describes it as "partial 16S ribosomal RNA". It matches the Rfam family "Bacterial small subunit ribosomal RNA", at positions 524 to 776 of the family's 1533-position model. The record is from RNAcentral.
UACAGAGGUCCCGAGCGUUGUUCGGAUUCAUUGGGCGUAAAGGGUGCGCAGGUGGCGGGGUAAGUCUGAUGUGAAAUCCCGGGGCUCAACUCCGGAACUGCAUUGGAUACUGCUUCGCUUGAGUACUGGAGAGGAGACUGGAAUUUACGGUGUAGCAGUGAAAUGCGUAGAGAUCGUAAGGAAGACCAGUGGCGAAGGCGGCCAUCUGGGACAACACUGACGCUGGAGGCAACGAAAGCGUGGGGAGCAAACAGG